CGCGGACAGUGCCUGGUGGGUAGUUUGACUGGGGCGGUCUCCUCCCAAAGAGUAACGGAGGAGCACGAAGGUUGGCUAAUCCUGGUCGGACAUCAGGAGGUUAGUGCAAUGGCAUAAGCCAGCUUAACUGCGAGACGGACAGGUCGAGCAGGUACGAAAGUAGGUCAUAGUGAUCCGGUGGUUCUGAAUGGAAGGGCCAUCGCUCAACGGAUAAAAGGUACUCCGGGGAUAACAGGCUGAUACCGCCCAAGAGUUCAUAUCGACGGCGGUGUUUGGCACCUCGAUGUCGGCUCAUCACAUCCUGGGGCUGAAGUCGGUCCCAAGGGUAUGGCUGUUCGCCAUUUAAAGUGGUACGCGAGCUGGGUUCAGAACGUCGUGAGACAGUUCGGUCCCUAUCUGCCGUGGGCGUUGGAUGAUUGAAGGGAGUUGCUCCUAGUACGAGAGGACCGGAGUGAACGAACCUCUGGUGUUCGGGUUGUCACGCCAGUGGCACUGCCCGGUAGCUAAGUUCGGAAUCGAUAACCGCUGAAAGCAUCUAAGCGGGAAGCGAGCCCUGAGAUGAGUCAUCCCUGACCCCUUGAGGGUCCUAAAGGGCCGUUGGAGACCACAACGUUGAUAGGUGGGGUGUGUAAGCGCGGCGACGUGUUGAGCUAACCCAUACUAAUUACCCGUGAGGCUUAACCAU
This 685-nucleotide ribosomal RNA is filed under the name Aeromonas jandaei. RNAcentral's name for it is "partial 23S ribosomal RNA". It matches the Rfam family "Bacterial large subunit ribosomal RNA", at positions 2246 to 2925 of the family's 2925-position model. The record is from RNAcentral. Lineage: Bacteria; Pseudomonadati; Pseudomonadota; Gammaproteobacteria; Aeromonadales; Aeromonadaceae. RNAcentral also lists the same sequence under 2 other names.